CACGUAGGCGGCCUGGUAAGUCAGAUGUGAAAGCCCGGGGCUUAACCCCGGAGGUGCAUUUGAUACUGCUAGGCUUGAGUAUGGGAGAGGGAAGUGGAAUUCCUGGUGUAGAGGUGAAAUUCGUAGAUAUCAGGAGGAACACCGGUGGCGAAGGCGACUUCCUGGACCAAUACUGACGCUGAGGUGCGAAGGCGUGGGUAGCAAACA
This 207-nucleotide ribosomal RNA is filed under the name uncultured bacterium. RNAcentral describes it as "partial 16S ribosomal RNA". It matches the Rfam family "Bacterial small subunit ribosomal RNA", at positions 568 to 774 of the family's 1533-position model. The record is from RNAcentral.